AUUUUAUUUAAGGGUUGGCAGUGAAGGUGAGGGUAUCUCUUGCCAGAGAUCCCUGUCUACCUGAAGUCUUUCAAAAGCGGAGAAUGUAUAUCAGCUUCUCUAGCAUUGCAAACACAUGUGCGCAGUAAUGAAGACUAGCAAUGUCUUUGAGGUUGAGACUCAGUUCUGAAUAGAGAGAUCUACAGUGUAUCAUCAACCUGUCCAGAUAUUAUGAUGUUAGCAUAUUUCAUUAACUCAGUUUGUGGUUUUUUUGUUUGUUUAUUUGUUGCCUGGUAUUGAGAUAAAUUGAAACAAAUUUGGGUACAAGAAAAGCAAUGUCAUUAGGCCUGGAACACUAAGUUGGAAAGAGAAAUGAGUAGAACCUCACCUUGCACUUUGUAAACCUGACACGUAGUUCUGUUAGACUAGGCAUUUAGUUGCCAAAAGUAUGGUGACUACGUCUCUGCAGCAGUGUAGCUCCAGUCCCAAAGAUUGGACAGACAAAAAUGGAGAUAAGGAUGUAGAGUAGAUACCAUUCAAGAUUGUGGCAGCUGAAUGGGUAUUUCUAAUUUAUGAUUUCAAAUGCAUGCCCUGAGUUCUUUACUGAAUCUUGCCGUUAAUCAUUUCUAAACAAUUGACAAGAAUACAUCUUUUUCCAGUCUAGUCUGCCACGGGCCUUAUGUGGCCUCUCUUCAGACAUUGGAUAUUAUGCUUUAAAAAAUUACAUUAUUUUUCUAAUGAAUUGUUCUGUAUUACCAUUUGUAAAUGAAAAAUAUAGAACUUGUAACAGCUAAUGUUUGGUACAGUGCAAAAGUAUAUAAGAAAAUUUUUCUUAUAUGAUUUCCUCCUUACAUAUAUACAUAUAUAUUUUCAAUUUCAUUCUUCUAACUUCCCGAUCUUUUUAACUUUUCAUUUUUUGUUCCUAUCACCCAAUCCAUUUUAGGUGUGUCCUAGGGUCUAGGACUACACUGUGUGGUAAAUAGAAAGUAGCUAUGUUACAUUGCUGUAGAGCUUUUACUGUCAGUGCAUCAGAUUGAAGCAUGUAUAUUGACAGAGUAUAGUGUUUUGCAUCAGAUCUACUCUCAAACAAGAGCAUUAUUUUCCUUCUCUUGCCUAUAUAAUGCACAGUGAAAAAAAUCUCUCCUAAUUCAAGCUACAAAGUAUUCUACCCUCUUCUCCUUGAAUAGUUUUUGGACCUCUU
Long non-coding RNA from Phasianus colchicus (ring-necked pheasant), 1180 nucleotides. RefSeq lists it as uncharacterized. Lineage: Eukaryota; Metazoa; Chordata; Aves; Galliformes; Phasianidae. The record is from RefSeq and is a predicted model, not a curated record.